This 463-nucleotide ribosomal RNA is filed under the name uncultured bacterium. Its description in RNAcentral is "partial 16S ribosomal RNA". It matches the Rfam family "Bacterial small subunit ribosomal RNA", at positions 28 to 507 of the family's 1533-position model. The record is from RNAcentral.
GAUGAACGCUGACAGAAUGCUUAACACAUGCAAGUCGAUGGGGAAGUGGUGCUUGCCCCAUGGCAACCAUGGCGGACGGGUGAGUAACGCGUAAGGGACUUACCUGCAGGACUGGGAUAACAGGGGGAAACUCCUGACAAGGCCGGAUAAUGUCAUGGAGCUGCAUGGCUUUAUGAUGAAAGGAGACGCCUGCGGAGAGCCUUGCGUCCUAUUAGCUAGUUGGUGAGGUAAUGGCUCACCAAGGCGAAGAUAGGUAGCCGGCCUGAGAGGGUGGACGGCCACAAGGGGACUGAGAUACGGCCCUUACUCCUACGGGAGGCAGCAGUGGGGAAUAUUGGACAAUGGGGGCAACCCUGAUCCAGCAAUUCUGUGUGCACGAAGAAGGUUUUCGGAUUGUAAAGUGCUUUCAGCAGGGGAGAAGUAAGUGACGGUACCUGCAGAAGAAGCGACGGCUAAAUACGUG